CCCGUGUCGGUAAGGGUGGAAAGGCGAGGUAAGAGCUCACCGCUGUACUGGUAACAGGACAGGCUCUGUAAACCCCAUCCGAAGCAAGACCGCAAAGGGACAUAAGGCUGCCCGUCUGUUCCAGGUAGGUCGCUUGAGGCCUGUGGCAACACAGGUCCUGGAUAGAUGGCCAUGCAACGACAUAACCCGGCUUAUCGAUCUACCUCUUUU
This 210-nucleotide RNase P RNA is filed under the name Lachnospiraceae bacterium. Its description in RNAcentral is "partial RNase P RNA component class A". It matches the Rfam family "Bacterial RNase P class A", at positions 139 to 367 of the family's 367-position model. Rfam says of the family: Ribonuclease P (RNase P) is a ubiquitous endoribonuclease, found in archaea, bacteria and eukarya as well as chloroplasts and mitochondria. Its best characterised activity is the generation of mature 5'-ends of tRNAs by cleaving the 5'-leader elements of precursor-tRNAs. The record is from RNAcentral. Lineage: Bacteria; Bacillati; Bacillota; Clostridia; Lachnospirales; Lachnospiraceae.